GAGGCAUACUUUGGCUUACUUUGAAUUUGGUAGCGUAGGCGUUGUGAUAUAUGAAGGCGUACUUUGAAUUUAUGCUGCGCACAAAUCACUGUAUAAAACCCUACACCACUGCUCCUUAAACCCUAAUAUUUUCCCCAAUUCUUUUCCCUGGAAAUGUUCCGCAGAAGGACAGAGGUUCUGACUUCGGCUCCCCCGCGGCCGCUUCUGUUGAGGGUUUCUGUGUCGUUAAUCGGGUCGUUGUGCUCCUGUGGAUUGGGGAAGCUGGGGCCGAGUUCGUUUUAUAUAAUCUGCAGUUAAUAAGAAAUGGGAGGAAAUUGACUGUUGCUUGUAUUUCAAGACAUUGUACUCUUCUUUUUCAAGGAACACCUUAAGAGAUUUAAGAAAAUGGCAGGGGGCAAUAAACUGCAUAAGAAUGAUCAACCUUCGAUCAAAUACAGGUGGUACCCAGUUGGUCAGGCAUCCUCUGGGCUUCCUGGUUUUGUUCAUGA
Molecule: long non-coding RNA, 488 nt
Organism: Pyrus x bretschneideri (Chinese white pear)
Lineage: Eukaryota; Viridiplantae; Streptophyta; Magnoliopsida; Rosales; Rosaceae
Exons: 3
Source: RefSeq, a predicted model, not a curated record